RNAcentral lists this ribosomal RNA (425 nucleotides) under Salmonella enterica subsp. enterica serovar Dublin. RNAcentral describes it as "bacterial SSU rRNA". It matches the Rfam family "Bacterial small subunit ribosomal RNA", at positions 1 to 420 of the family's 1533-position model. Lineage: Bacteria; Pseudomonadati; Pseudomonadota; Gammaproteobacteria; Enterobacterales; Enterobacteriaceae. The record is from RNAcentral.
UUAAAUUGAAGAGUUUGAUCAUGGCUCAGAUUGAACGCUGGCGGCAGGCCUAACACAUGCAAGUCGAACGGUAACAGGAAGCAGCUUGCUGCUUUGCUGACGAGUGGCGGACGGGUGAGUAAUGUCUGGGAAACUGCCUGAUGGAGGGGGAUAACUACUGGAAACGGUGGCUAAUACCGCAUAACGUCGCAAGACCAAAGAGGGGGACCUUCGGGCCUCUUGCCAUCAGAUGUGCCCAGAUGGGAUUAGCUAGUUGGUGAGGUAACGGCUCACCAAGGCGACGAUCCCUAGCUGGUCUGAGAGGAUGACCAGCCACACUGGAACUGAGACACGGUCCAGACUCCUACGGGAGGCAGCAGUGGGGAAUAUUGCACAAUGGGCGCAAGCCUGAUGCAGCCAUGCCGCGUGUAUGAAGAAGGCCUUCG